GAUGAACGCUGGCGGCGUGCCUAAUACAUGCAAGUCGAGCGAACAGAUAAGGAGCUUGCUCCUUUGACGUUAGCGGCGGACGGGUGAGUAACACGUGGGUAACCUACCUAUAAGACUGGGAUAACUUCGGGAAACCGGAGCCAAUACCGGAUAAUAUUUCGAACCGCAUGGUUCGAUAGUGGAAGAUGGUUUUGCUAUCACUUAUAGAUGGACCCGCGCCGUAUUAGCUAGUUGGUAAGGUAACGGCUUACCAAGGCGACGAUACGUAGCCGACCUGAGAGGGUGAUCGGCCACACUGGAACUGAGACACGGUCCAGACUCCUACGGGAGGCAGCAGUAGGGAAUCUUCCGCAAUGGGCGAAAGCCUGACGGAGCAACGCCGCGUGAGUGAUGAAGGUCUUCGGAUCGUAAAACUCUGUUAUUAGGGAAGAACAUACGUGUAAGUAACUGUGCACGUCUUGACGGUACCUAAUCAGAAAGCCACGGCUAACUACGUG
This 497-nucleotide ribosomal RNA is filed under the name uncultured bacterium. Its description in RNAcentral is "partial 16S ribosomal RNA". It matches the Rfam family "Bacterial small subunit ribosomal RNA", at positions 28 to 507 of the family's 1533-position model. The record is from RNAcentral.